CUGACUGCUAUCGGAUUGAUACUAAGCCAUGCGAGUCAUUGUAGCAAUACAAGGCAUACGGCUCAGUAACGCGUAGUCAACCUAACCUAUGGACGGGAAUAACCUCGGGAAACUGAGAAUAAUGCCCGAUAGAACAUUAUGCCUGGAAUGGUUUAUGUUCCAAAUGAUUUAUCGCCGUAGGAUGGGACUGCGGCCUAUCAGUUUGUUGGUGAGGUAAUGGCCCACCAAGACUAUUACAGGUACGGGCUCUGAGAGGAGUAGCCCGGAGAUGGGUACUGAGACACGGACCCAGGCCCUAUGGGGCGCAGCAGGCGAGAAAACUUUGCAACGUGCGAAAGCACGACAAGGUUAAUCCGAGUGGUUUCUGCUAAAGGAACCUUUUGUCAGUCCUAGAAACACUGAUGAAUAAGGGGUGGGCAAGUCUGGUGUCACCCGCCGCGGUAAAACCAGCACCUCAAGUGGUCAGGAUGAUUAUUGGGCCUAAAGCAUCCGUAGCCGGCUCUGUAAGUUUUCGGUUAAAUCUGUACGCUCAACGUACAGGCUGCCGGGAAUACUGCAGAGCUAGGGAGUGGGAGAGGUAGACGGUACUCGGUAGGAAGGGGUAAAAUCCUUUGAUCUAUUGAUGACCACCUGUGGCGAAGGCGGUCUACCAGAACACGUCCGACGGUGAGGGAUGAAAGCUGGGGGAGCAAACCGGAUUAGAUACCCGGGUAGUCCCAGCUGUAAACUAUGCAAACUCAGUGAUGCAUUGGCUUGUGGCCAAUGCAGUGCUGCAGGGAAGCCGUUAAGUUUGCCGCCUGGGAAGUACGUACGCAAGUAUGAAACUUAAAGGAAUUGGCGGGGGAGCACCACAAGGGGUGAAGCUCGG
RNAcentral lists this ribosomal RNA (868 nucleotides) under uncultured marine archaeon AEGEAN_70. Its description in RNAcentral is "bacterial SSU rRNA". It matches the Rfam family "Archaeal small subunit ribosomal RNA", at positions 23 to 898 of the family's 1478-position model. Lineage: Archaea; Thermoproteati; Thermoproteota. The record is from RNAcentral.